UGUGACGCCUGGCGGCGUGCCUAACACAUGCAAGUCAAGAGAGAAGUUUCGCUUCGGUGAAAUGGAUACUGGCGCACGGGUGAGUAACACGUGGAUUAUCUGCCCUUUACACAGACAUAACUCAGGGAAACUUGAGCUAAUAUCUGAUGAGGCCUCCGGGUCAAAGCUUCGGCGGUAAAGGAUGAGUCUGCGUCUGAUUAGCUAGUUGGUAAGGUAAUGGCUUACCAAGGCGACGAUCAGUAACUGGUCUGAGAGGACGAUCAGUCACACUGGAACUGAGACACGGUCCAGACUCCUACGGGAGGCAGCAGUGAGGAAUUUUGGACAAUGGGGGAAACCCUGAUCCAGCGACGCCGCGUGUGGGAUGAAUGGGUUAUGCCCUGUAAACCACUGUCAGCAGAGAAGAAAAGGCUCCUUUGGAGCCCGGGACUGUAUCUGCAGAGGAAGGACCGGCUAACUACGUGCCAGCAGCCGCGGUAAUACGUAGGGUCCAAGCGUUAUCCGGAAUUACUGGGUAUAAAGGGUGCGUAGGCGGCCUUGUGCGUCGAAGGUUAAAGGCCAUGGCUCAACCAUGGAAAUGCCCU
This 584-nucleotide ribosomal RNA is filed under the name uncultured Pseudomonadota bacterium. RNAcentral's name for it is "bacterial SSU rRNA". It matches the Rfam family "Bacterial small subunit ribosomal RNA", at positions 29 to 627 of the family's 1533-position model. The record is from RNAcentral. Lineage: Bacteria; Pseudomonadati; Pseudomonadota.